UUGGGCCUGAAUCAAGGCCAGCAAUUUGCUGAAGCUGUUGAUUUCAAGCAGGAGCCUAAAGAAUUGUCUUUCUCUGGUCUGUUGGCAAUUUCAGAACUUUGGAGAUGUAAUGGUCAAUUCAUUAGAAAGAAACGUCU
This 137-nucleotide small nucleolar RNA is filed under the name Carlito syrichta (Philippine tarsier). The record is from RNAcentral. Lineage: Eukaryota; Metazoa; Chordata; Mammalia; Primates; Tarsiidae.